This 328-nucleotide ribosomal RNA is filed under the name uncultured eukaryote. Its description in RNAcentral is "partial 18S ribosomal RNA". It matches the Rfam family "Eukaryotic small subunit ribosomal RNA", at positions 1470 to 1796 of the family's 1831-position model. The record is from RNAcentral.
CCCUUAGAUGUCCUGGGCCGCACGCGCGUUACACUGAUGCAUUCAACGAGCUUAUAACCUUGGCCGAGAGGCCUGGGCAAUCUUGUUAACGUGCAUCGUGAUAGGGAUAGAUUAUUGAAAUUAUUAAACUUGAACGAGGAAUUCCUAGUAAACGCAGAUCAUCAAUCUGCAUUGAUUACGUCCCUGCCCUUUGUACACACCGCCCGUCGCACCUACCGAUUGGAUGGUCCGGUGAAGCCUCGGGAUUGUGGUUCUUGCCGCUUUAUUGUGGCGUGACCGCGAGAACUUGUCUAAACCUUAUCAUCUAGAGGAAGGUGAAGUCGUAACA